This 498-nucleotide ribosomal RNA is filed under the name uncultured bacterium. RNAcentral describes it as "partial 16S ribosomal RNA". It matches the Rfam family "Bacterial small subunit ribosomal RNA", at positions 30 to 523 of the family's 1533-position model. The record is from RNAcentral.
AUUGAACGCUGGCGGCAUGCCUUACACAUGCAAGUCGAACGGUAACAGGUCUUCGGAUGCUGACGAGUGGCGAACGGGUGAGUAAUACAUCGGAACGUGCCUAGUAGUGGGGGAUAACUACUCGAAAGAGUGGCUAAUACCGCAUGAGAUCUACGGAUGAAAGCAGGGGAUCGCAAGACCUUGUGCUACUAGAGCGGCCGAUGGCAGAUUAGGUAGUUGGUGGGAUAAAAGCUUACCAAGCCGACGAUCUGUAGCUGGUCUGAGAGGACGAUCAGCCACACUGGGACUGAGACCCGGCCCAGACUCCUGCGGGAGGCAGCAGUGGGGAAUUUUGGACAAUGGGCGCAAGCCUGAUCCAGCAAUGCCGCGUGCAGGAUGAAGGCCUUCGGGUUGUAAACUGCUUUUGUACGGAACGAAAAGCCCUGGGUUAAUACCCUGGGGUCAUGACGGUACCGUAAGAAUAAGCACCGGCUAACUACGUGGCAGCCGCCGCCGUAA